RNAcentral lists this ribosomal RNA (480 nucleotides) under uncultured bacterium. Its description in RNAcentral is "SSU rRNA". It matches the Rfam family "Bacterial small subunit ribosomal RNA", at positions 26 to 518 of the family's 1533-position model. The record is from RNAcentral.
AGGACGAACGCUGGCGGCGUGCUUAACGACGAUGCAAGUCGAACGAUUCCGGGUCUUCGGGCCCGGUUUAGUGGCGAACGGGUGAGUAACACGUGGGCAACCUGCCCUCCACUCUGGGAUAACUCCGGGAAACCGGGGCUAAUACUGGAUACGACCUUCGGCCGCAUGGCUGGGGGUGGAAAGUUUUUCGGUGGAGGAUGGGCCCGCGGCCUAUCAGCUUGUUGGUGGGGUGAUGGCCUACCAAGGCGGUGACGGGUAGCCGGCCUGAGAGGGCGACCGGCCACACUGGGACUGAGACACGGCCCAGACUCCUGCGGGAGGCAGCAGUGGGGAAUAUUGCACAAUGGGCGAAAGCCUGAUGCAGCGACGCCGCGUGAGGGAUGGACGGCCUUCGGGUUGUAAACCGUCUUUCAGCAGGGACCAAGCGUGAGUGAGUGUACCUGCAGAAGAAGCACCGGCUAACUACGCGCCAGCAGCCGC